Molecule: long non-coding RNA, 517 nt
Organism: Zonotrichia leucophrys gambelii
Lineage: Eukaryota; Metazoa; Chordata; Aves; Passeriformes; Passerellidae
Exons: 3
Source: RefSeq, a predicted model, not a curated record
GUUUAGAUGGAGACAUUGAUGGAUAGAUUGCUGUUUGUGUAGGCCUAGGCUGCAUUUGUACCUCUUUCCCCCCUCAGCUGCCUUUUUCACCUCUUGCUUUUCCCCCGGUGCCCCCUGUGUCCCCUGUCCCUGUGCUGGGUCCGAGCUGGCGGCCAGCCUGGGUGGAGCAGCACUUCCAGCCCCGGCUGUCCCUGGAGCGGUGGGAGCUGCCGCUGGCCCCAGGCACUGUCCCUGAGGAGCUGCUGAAGGACGCUGCCAUGAAGACCUUGAGGACAGCCGGAGACUGACGGGAGCCAGCAGGGAGGAGCUGAAGGCCAGCAGCAAGAGCAGUGAACGGGGACCUGCUGCUGCCAGCCUGGAGAGAGCCCGGCUGAGGCCACAGGCCCGGGGAGGCAGAUGUCCCAUCUGCUGUCCCUGUCCAGGAGCGCUGCUCUGCCCGGGAGGAGGAGACCAAGCGAGAGGCUUUGAAGAUGGGGCAGCUGGGAUCCCUCUGCUUGGAGUGCUGUUUACAGAUACA